GGGUUCAGAACGUCGUGAGACAGUUCGGUCCCUAUCCGGCGCAGGCGCAGGAGGCCUGCGGGGAGCUGCCCCUAGUACGAGAGGACCGGGGUGGACGGGCCGCUGGUGUACCUGCUGGGCCGCUUGGCCCACGGCAGGGUAGCCAAGCCCGGGAGGGAUAAACGCUGAAGGCAUCUAAGCGUGAAGCCCCCCCCAAGACGAGGCCUCCCACGCGGAAGCGGUAAGGCCCCCCGUAGAGGACGGGGUAGGUGGGCGCGGAGUGGAAGCGCAGCAAUGCGUGGAGCGGACGCGUACUAAUCGGCCGAGGGCUUACCCAU
Ribosomal RNA from Lachnospiraceae bacterium 28-4, 317 nucleotides. It matches the Rfam family "Bacterial large subunit ribosomal RNA", at positions 2607 to 2925 of the family's 2925-position model. The record is from Rfam. NCBI's taxonomy places the organism in Bacteria, Bacillati, Bacillota, Clostridia, Lachnospirales, Lachnospiraceae.